This 621-nucleotide ribosomal RNA is filed under the name Debaryomyces hansenii. Its description in RNAcentral is "partial large subunit ribosomal RNA". It matches the Rfam family "Eukaryotic large subunit ribosomal RNA", at positions 66 to 664 of the family's 3401-position model. The record is from RNAcentral. Lineage: Eukaryota; Fungi; Ascomycota; Pichiomycetes; Serinales; Debaryomycetaceae.
AUAUUCAGUAUGCUUAGUACGGCGAGUGAAGCGGCAAAAGCUCAAAUUUGAAAUCUGGCACCUUCGGUGUCCGAGUUGUAAUUUGAAGAAGGUAACUUUGGAGUUGGCUCUUGUCUAUGUUCCUUGGAACAGGACGUCACAGAGGGUGAGAAUCCCGUGCGAUGAGAUGCCCAAUUCUAUGUAAAGUGCUUUCGAAGAGUCGAGUUGUUUGGGAAUGCAGCUCUAAGUGGGUGGUAAAUUCCAUCUAAAGCUAAAUAUUGGCGAGAGACCGAUAGCGAACAAGUACAGUGAUGGAAAGAUGAAAAGAACUUUGAAAAGAGAGUGAAAAAGUACGUGAAAUUGUUGAAAGGGAAGGGCUUGAGAUCAGACUUGGUAUUUUGCGAUCCUUUCCUUCUUGGUUGGGUUCCUCGCAGCUUACUGGGCCAGCAUCGGUUUGGAUGGUAGGAUAAUGACUAAGGAAUGUGGCUCUACUUCGGUGGAGUGUUAUAGCCUUGGUUGAUACUGCCUGUCUAGACCGAGGACUGCGUCUUUUGACUAGGAUGUUGGCAUAAUGAUCUUAAGCCACCCGUCUAAAACAAGGGACCAAAAAAAAACAUAAACCUUAAAAAAAAAAUAUAAAAA